This 853-nucleotide long non-coding RNA is filed under the name Monodelphis domestica (gray short-tailed opossum). Its description in RNAcentral is "lncRNA (ENSMODG00000045133.1)". Lineage: Eukaryota; Metazoa; Chordata; Mammalia; Didelphimorphia; Didelphidae. The record is from RNAcentral.
UAGUCUAAUUUUGAUGCUUUGAUGAGCUACCUCUGAAGUUACUUACAGAGAUUCCCAGACCAGAUAUUUUGAUAGAUUUUGAUAGAAUUGUCGUAGAAAGCCCAAGUUCCUGAAAUCUCAUCAGGUUUACAACAUAAUAAACUUUCAUUAAGAUGAAACUUUAUGAAACUUAUUCUGUUUAUUUCCCAGAGCUAACCAGAUGCUGAUUGAAUAUUGAAUGAGUUGGGUAUGAACCUUGCUCAAUAACACUGGCAUGAAAACUGGCCUGGAGAGAAAUAUCUGUGAGCUUAGAAUAUAUUUUUUGAUAAUAUUGCUGAGUAGAGAACAUGGGGAUGGCUGGUACAUAAUUCCCCUCCAUGUCCUAGAGCCAAUGGAUCAGCCUGUCGAGCAAGCUGGUGGGGCCGGUGCUUGGGCUCUGGUAAAGUACGAGGCUCCAAGGAAACUGUGGGGAGCGUCUACGCCACCAGCCAUUCACACGUGCGUGUGCGUGCAGUGAGAGAUGGGAAUGAACCAUAAUAAUCCCUCCUUUAUCAUUAAAGUCUAUUGCUUUACUGGAAACGAAGGUUGUUUAUUGGUUAUUUAUUUUGUUUUUCUUAAAUGACCAAAAUUCCCUUUUUUCUCCCCACUUUUGGAAACCACAUCAUUCAUGGAGGGGGAUUGAGACAUGGCGGAGACUGGGAGGGAGCCUGCCAAUUUCCAGGCCCAAGUUUGUUGUGGAAACUUUGGGAGGAUGUGGUCGGGUAGCCGAAUCUCAGUGUGUUCACUACCAGCUGUGGCUCAUGCUCUGGGUCUAAGAUUCUGACUCAAGAAGUAUAAUUUGGCAUAAAGUCAAGGCUGUAGCAGCUAAGGAAGA